GACGAACGCUGGCGGCGUGCUUAACACAUGCAAGUCGAACGGAAAGGCCCUGCUUUUGUGGGGUGCUCGAGUGGCGAACGGGUGAGUAACACGUGAGUAACCUGCCCUUGACUUUGGGAUAACUUCAGGAAACUGGGGCUAAUACCGGAUAGGAGCUCCUGCUGCAUGGUGGGGGUUGGAAAGUUUCGGCGGUUGGGGAUGGACUCGCGGCUUAUCAGCUUGUUGGUGGGGUAGUGGCUUACCAAGGCUUUGACGGAUAGCCGGCCUGAGAGGUGGACCGGCCACAUGGGGACUAAGAUACGGACCAGACUCCUACGGGAGGCAGCAGUGGGGAGUAUUGCACAAUGGGCGGAAGCCUGAUGCAGCAACGCCGCGUGCGGGAUGACGGCCUUCGAGUUGUAAACCGCUUUCGCCUGUGACGAAGCGUGAGUGACGGUAAUGGGUAAAGAAGCACCGGCUAACUACGUG
RNAcentral lists this ribosomal RNA (468 nucleotides) under uncultured bacterium. RNAcentral's name for it is "partial 16S ribosomal RNA". It matches the Rfam family "Bacterial small subunit ribosomal RNA", at positions 28 to 507 of the family's 1533-position model. The record is from RNAcentral.